RNAcentral lists this ribosomal RNA (492 nucleotides) under uncultured bacterium. RNAcentral's name for it is "partial 16S ribosomal RNA". It matches the Rfam family "Bacterial small subunit ribosomal RNA", at positions 29 to 507 of the family's 1533-position model. The record is from RNAcentral.
AGUGAACGCUGGCGGUAGGCCUAACACAUGCAAGUCGAACGACCGCACAGUAAGAGCUUGCUCUUACGGGUGGCGAGCGUCGGACCGUUGCGGUAUACAUCGGAAUCUACUUUUUCGUGGGGGAUAACGUCGGGAAACUCACGCUAAUACCGCAUACGACCUCCUUGUGAAAGCAGGGGACCGUCGGACCUUGCGCGAUUGAAUGAGCCGGUGUCGGAUUAGCUAGUUGGCCCGGUAAAGGCCCACCAAGGCGACGAUCCGUAGCUGGUCUGAGAGGAUCAUCCGGCAGAUUGGCACAGAGACACGGCCGCCACAUCGACGGGGGGCCGCGGUGGGGAAUCUUGCAGGAUGGGGGAGAGGCGGAUCCAGCCAUACCGGGUGGGGGAAGAAGGAGUUCGGGUUGUAGAGCCCUUUUGUUGGGAAAGAAAAGCAGCAGUUUAACACGCCGCGGUUCUGACGGUACCCGAAGAAUAAGCACCGGCUAACUUCGUG